ACUCCAGGAAAACCCAUGGCCAUGAGGUUGGUCCUGUUUUUUGGUGCCCUUUUUGGGCAUAUCUACUGUCUAGAAACAUUUGUGGGAGACCAAGUUCUUGAGAUUGUACCAAGCAAUGAGGAACAAAUUAAAAAUCUGCUACAAUUGGAGGCUCAAGAACAUCUCCAGCUUGAUUUUUGGAAAUCACCCACCACCCCAGGUGAGACAGCCCACGUCCGAGUUCCCUUCGUCAACGUCCAGGCAGUCAAAGCGUUCUUGGAGUCCCAGGGAAUUGCCUAUUCCAUCAUGAUUGAAGACGUGCAGGUCCUGUUGGACAAAGAGAAUGAAGAAAUGCUUUUUAAUAGGAGAAGAGAACGGAGUGGUAACUUCAAUUUUGGGGCCUACCAUACCCUGGAAGAGAUUUCCCAAGAAAUGGAUAACCUCGUGGCUGAGCACCCUGGUCUAGUGAGCAAAGUGAAUAUUGGCUCUUCUUUUGAGAAUCGGCCUAUGAACGUGCUCAAGUUCAGCACCGGAGGAGACAAGCCAGCUAUCUGGCUGGAUGCUGGGAUCCAUGCUCGAGAGUGGGUUACACAAGCUACGGCACUUUGGACAGCAAAUAAGAUUGCUUCUGAUUAUGGAAAGGACCCAUCCAUCACUUCCAUUCUGGACACCCUGGACAUCUUCCUCCUGCCAGUCACAAACCCUGAUGGAUACGUGUUCUCUCAAACCAAAGUAAGCCUGGAUUUUGUUCCCUUCUUCAACAAGGACCUAAGGAGAUGUGUAGGAACUUCAAAAGCAAAAUAAAAGUACUCAUUCUUUUCUUGAUUUACUCUAAAUGGAAUGUCUAAUUUCUCAGUAGUCACCCGGAAAUGAGGGAUAGAGAAGUGGUUAUAAUCACUUCUUAUUCCAACACAUGAUGUCUUUACAUGUUGCCUCAGCCAGAGCCCAUUUCAGCUGUUAGGCUGGGCUAUUAGAGCUCUGUGUUCACCGUGAGUCAUCUAGGAGAUUUGUUCCAAUUAUCUCGC
Molecule: small RNA, 1004 nt
Filed under: Pongo abelii (Sumatran orangutan)
Lineage: Eukaryota; Metazoa; Chordata; Mammalia; Primates; Hominidae
Description: retained intron
Source: RNAcentral